Molecule: non-coding RNA, 446 nt
Organism: Cyanistes caeruleus (blue tit)
Lineage: Eukaryota; Metazoa; Chordata; Aves; Passeriformes; Paridae
Source: RefSeq, a predicted model, not a curated record
UCUUCCCUAUGCAGUCCUGUUUCACUCACAUCAGCAGUUGGCCCUCUGUCUAAACUGGAGAAGCAUCAAACAUGAUGAUUUCAUCCUGUGGUACAGCAAAAAAUAGUUAAUGGUGUGUUUGUGUCACAUGGACCACAUGUGUAGACUGUUUAUAAAAUAUCUGUGUCGAUUCCCUCAUGCAUGCACAUGCCCAGAGUAAAAGGAAUAUGUAACACCUGAGGCUGGGAUCAAAAGAUGAAGUAUUUUCACAUGCUAUGAAAUCCCCUCCUGAAACAACUACACAGCAGCACUGGUGAGGAAAGGCUGUGACAAGUCAAAGAUGCUCCUGAAAUGUCAUCCUUGUUGUAUUCUGAUGGAGUGGUACCCACUGAUCCUUAGAUUCUGCACUGAGAAAAAAAUCUUAUCUAAAUUGAUGGGAAAUUGAGUUAAUUUAGAGGUCAUGCAAA